This is a long non-coding RNA of Hydra vulgaris (swiftwater hydra), 454 nucleotides long. RefSeq lists it as uncharacterized. NCBI's taxonomy places the organism in Eukaryota, Metazoa, Cnidaria, Hydrozoa, Anthoathecata, Hydridae. The record is from RefSeq and is a predicted model, not a curated record.
CGUUAAAUACAGGAAUGGCUCCCAAUUUUGAUUGGAUGAAAAAAUUUUGUUUCACGAAGUCCGAAAAACACUUUUUCUCGUUUGCCGGAUAUCGUGACUUGUAUAUGUUAUAUAUGAAACAUGUAUAUGAAAUAUUAUGAAUAUAUUCUUUAGAUCGGAGCAAAUAUUUUGACCAAUCAAAUUAGGGAGCCAUUCCUAAGUAAAAUUCAAAAGUAAAUGAUAGUUAAAUCUAUAUAAUUCACUACAAACAGUUAUACACGAAGUCUAAGAUGCGGAUGAUGAAGAUUUGCUGCACGUCACAUCAAUCAGAGUAAUGCUUGUGAUUACCUUAUUAGAGUCAUGACUUAGUAAAUCUUGAUGAAAAAAACUGUUUGGUGAAAUGACUUUUAGCAAAAAAAAAUCUUAUUAAACUGUCUAAAUGAUUACUUCUAUAAAAAAGGUGUAGUGCAUACAA